This is a long non-coding RNA of Eufriesea mexicana, 213 nucleotides long. RefSeq lists it as uncharacterized. NCBI's taxonomy places the organism in Eukaryota, Metazoa, Arthropoda, Insecta, Hymenoptera, Apidae. The transcript is spliced from 3 exons. The record is from RefSeq and is a predicted model, not a curated record.
AUUGCAAUAAACGUAAUAUCGAAAAUCGACGGAACGUACUAAAAUGUCUGUCCGUAAUGUACGAUACUGUUGUACUGUUCAAAUUACGCGACAUAUCGUUCGUGACUCGAUACACUGGGAAAAGAAACAAUUCGAUUACUCGAUCGGUAUUUGGCACAAUCCGAGCACGAAUGAUUUACAAAUGGUUGGAUAUAUAUUCAUACACAUGCAGCG